This is a long non-coding RNA of Triticum dicoccoides, 4064 nucleotides long. RefSeq lists it as uncharacterized. NCBI's taxonomy places the organism in Eukaryota, Viridiplantae, Streptophyta, Magnoliopsida, Poales, Poaceae. The record is from RefSeq and is a predicted model, not a curated record. The transcript has 4 exons.
UUUGGAUAUCUUGCUUAAUAUAUAUAGCACUGCUAAACUAAGCCUGAGCGCAAAUUCCUUUACCCUACGCGCCGGCCAUAGCGUGCGCUUAAUUAAGCCAACCACCCCUCCAGCCGUCCCGCAUGGAGCCAUGCAUGUUUGAACGUAAAAGUGGAACACUUAGUAGUAAGGACAUUACUACAAAGCAUAUUUACUUGAAAUCAAACGUAAAUCCAUGAUGAUAUUCUGGUAAUGGUUCAUAUGGGAUGCAAUAACACAAAUAGUAGUAAUGAAAUCAAUGGACUGGGUCAGAUGUUCCUAUGAAUUGCUAGUAAACCUAUGAGAAGGUAGUGGUAAUUCAAUUACUACCUAGCUAGUAGCUAAUAGAUUUGCUCGGUUAGGUAGUAAACCUACAAUCUCUACUAUUAAAGGAGGAUCGAACGUCGUGAUGGUUCAACCUGGUUCGCUCCCCCCGCUUCCUUCGAUCCCCGCAUCGCUCCUUUUCACCCCACGUCAGAAAAAGCAGCAAGAGAAAAAAGGAAAAAGAAAUAGCCACGACCCCACGAACACCCCGUCCCACGAUCCAAUCUCCCUCGAUCCCCUCGCCUUCGUUCCAAUCCGCCUUCCCAUCUGCCGCCCGUCUAUGCACCUUUCUCCGUGCCCGCCGAGGCAGCCAGGGCCAGGACCAGCACCGCGAUGUGGUAUGAACACAGUCGACGCCUCUCUCCCCAUCGGCCACGCGAAGGGACCCCUGAUUACUUUAUCGUGAUUCAAUGGGAAUCACCAGUUCACCACCGCCCCCAACGAAGGCGCGUAGAAACAACGGUUUGUUUUUCCCCUCAUUUGUGUUCUCGUCCCUUCCUCUCGUCCCGAUUCCAGACAUAGCGGCUGUUUUGUUUGUUCUGAUGCAUGUUCAUCUCCUAAGGUUGUGGUGCAGAAGCCAGCGGCCAAGCAGCCGGACACGGUAUUUCUGAAUCCUAAAUUCCUCUCUCCUUUCUAUAUUGUUUGUCGCUUGAUCAGAAUAGGAGAUUGUGAGCAAUUAGAAAAUGUAGAACAGUGUAGGAAUUACUCUUGCUUGAGUUUCACGCUUCAUGCAUGUCAUAUAUUUGAAGAUACGCUUGGACGAAGCACUAAUGGCAUGGGGUCACAGCAUAGUGUUGGGCUGUCUCAGCCUAGGAUGUUUCCAAAAAUCUGUCAUUCUUUAUUUAUGUCAAUAUGAAAGUGUUUUGUGGAACUUGGUGGAAGGACAUCAGCGUUUAUUUCAGCGGGCUUAAAAUAAGACAUACACACAAAAAUAUAAUUUCUUGGUUCUUUUACUUCUGUAUCGUAUGUUAAUUGCUAAGAGAAAGUAGUGGCUACACUCAGAUUUGGUGCACCCGGACUACAAAUAGUAAAAUCAAAACCACUCUCUAACUGCUAGAUACAACAUAUGUUUGAUUUAUGCAUUAUUGGCCGGGUUGGUUGAGGUGUCUGGAGCGGAGGGAGAUAUGAGUGGAGUAGGCGACCAACUAGCUUUUAGUGGUUCUCCAUGAAAAGGUAAGCCGCUCGUAUGCACACUUUUGUCCCUUCAUUCCAUUCUUUAUGACCAGAUUGACUUAUUUUUCUGGAAGAAAGGAUGUCAGUUUUGGGGAUUUCUCUCGAGCAUGAGAAUCAAUAAGUUUUGAUGCUUUUGUGUGGUUUGCUGCACCAACGGUAUAAGAGGAUGAUGAUCUUGCUAUGCAGGUCAACAUACAUUUAGUUGUGUCAGAAGUUACAAGGGGUAUACUUAACUGGUUUGUUAUCUCUUUGACAUUAUGGUUCACAAUGGCGGAUUUAGCUUGAAUGAUGAACUCUUAAAUUUUCAAGUACUUUGUAGAAAGGAAUUGCAAGGUAUGUUAGUACUAGGCCUAGGGUUAUAGCCAUAGCUGCUCUAGCUCUGUCUCCGCCAUUGAUGGUUCAGAGUGAGAAGUUCUUAGGUUAUUGAGAGUGAGUUUGUAUUUUAGAGAGCAAAAUACUUUGGGUUUUGUGACAAUAAUGCAUGCCACUUACAAAUUACUAAUUGUAUUUAUAUCAUAAACACAUCAACAAUCAUAUCCAGUGUUAUGACAUUGGCGCUCUUAUUGGCGUGACAGAGGAUAAACCAGUUCUUAGUUGUUCCUAUGUUGGUGAGGUUAUUUAUUCCAUACUUAGGCUAUGAAUUCUUUUGCCCAGCGCAAUGGUCCAGAACUAUUCUGGUACAAGCAGUAGCAUGAUUAUUAUGAAGAUCUAAGCUUCCACUGCUUACACCUGGUGGAAACAACAUUGGUGCUCAAAGCUCUUGGUUUCCCUACGUAUACUCAUAUAGAUGUUGCCUUAGGUGGAAUCUACGGUGGUGAAAAAAUAUUAUUUGCAUAGAAUACAGUAAGAGAGUAAGUACAUCAUAAUUUAUGGAACGAAGCUUAUCUAAUAUUAAAAGUGUGGGUGUGUAAGGAUUUUCUAUCUGAUUAUGAGCUAAACCUCUAUAAAAAACCUCAAACUCAAAUGGUAUCCCUGGACUAUACUGUUUCUGUCAUAGGUGAUGUUUUUAUUCCCAGUAAUGGUGGAAACAUGGCUAAAGUUCUCGAAGGAUGCCGCAGGUAUGUCUAUUUCUGAUCUACCGAGUCAAAAUGGUCAGCUACGCUUCUAGGGUAACUUCUAUACAAUACCUAGAUCAUAGUUUCAUUGUAGAUUGUAAGAAAUCAUGCUCCGUAGAUGGAAUUGGUAUUUGGAAAAAGAAAUAUAAUGUUAAGUUGAGAACUGGGACUGAAUGGUUCAUGAUCAACAGACAUACCGAACAUGAAUAUUGCAGGCUUUACCAUAAGCUUACAAUGGUACCAAUUUUGGUCGAUUUAAUUGGUUUGAAAAUUAGAGCAAGCGCAAGCAUGUUGUCUGUCAGUCUUAACUAAGCAGAUUUCUAUUCGGCAUCAAUAUAUCCAUUAUUUUGAGGCAUAAUGAAAUUUGGGGCUCAUCAUGCUUCUAAUAUGAUGUGUCUCAACGACAAUGGCACUACCAAUUCCAUGCUCACCCGGUUCACCAAAAUCGAAACAGGGGAUCACCAUGAUGGAGAUCACAUCACAUUCAGACCCAAGGAUCUAGGAUCUGCAGUCUGGAUAUGAUCAGCUAGAAGAUCAGGGCAACGGCACCAAUAGUCUUUGUGGGCAUUCCAUUUGGGAAUAUCAAGCAAAGUGCAUAGAACCACUUGUCUUAAGAAGAACCGCAACAAGGAGGAGAGCCUGAACGACAUUUUGCGGGCGAUUAUUAUGCCAGCUUUGGAUAGGAAGAAACAAGUGAUCAAUGUCAGAAAGAGAUCAUGUUUCCCAAUGGUGUAGCCGUGUAGGGAAUCACCCGGCUUCCAUCAGGAUGAUCUUAUAGGAUGGCAAUCAUGCUUGUUUCUGGAUCAUAUUAGAUUCAGGAAUACUAUGAACACUCUGGCUGCUGACCUCUUUGCCACCAUCAGAAGAGGGUUAGUCGGAAUAUACUCAGUCCAGGACAUCUUGCUGCAAAAAUGUUAUUAUAGGAUAUAAUAGGAUUCAGAGCUUCCCAUUUGCAGAACAAUUGUGGAAGCAUUGGGCACCUUUAAAACACAAACGUCUGGCUGGUCUUGAACAUUAGAUGUUGCAGAUUAACUGCGGCGCAGAGCCAGAGUUCUUUAACCAUCUUGCUCGGUGGAAAGCAAAUAUAUUUCAAGAUUUUCAGGUGAACCUAAUCUUAUUUAAUGUGCUUAGGUGAAUCUAAUCAGGGUAGCUUAUUGCUCUCAGGAAUUCUUCCACCCAGAUGGUUGUUUUCCAUUCUAGCCGCCAUGAAGAAAGGGCAAAACUCCCUGGUCAUCCUAACAUUAAGAGCUACUGCUAUUUGGUUGGAGCCCAAUGUCAACUUCUUUUAACAAGCAUGCAAGUGUUGAUGUGAUCUUUAGAUGAAUCAAAACUGAAUCCAGUAGUAGAAGAUAAUAUUCGAUGAGCCAGUAGGUCGAGUGGGCCUAAUGGCCAUGUUUUUUUUUUUUGACAUUUUACUAGCUUUUGUCAUAUUUAUCUUAUCUUUUGGAUCCUAUGAGUGACAUGUAUAUCAUAUUAUUUUAGUUUCUAUCAGUA